CAUUAGAAUUGUUAUUGUAUUCCUAUGAGCCAACCUAUGGCUUAUUAGGGCAAGAAACUGUGCAUCUUCUGUUCCUAUGGAUAAAUGCCUCUAUUGUUUCCUUAGUGAUCUACAAAGUACCAGCCUGUGAGCACAGAUGUUCACCUUGCAUCUCUUAAUGUUUCUUAAAUUUAUCUUUCUGCAAAGUUUUACAGUUCUAACCUCGGCCACCUCUUAAAUAUUUGAUUACAUAAAAUAAGAAUAGGGCGAAUCAGGCUUCUUAAAACAUUGGAGUUGGAGUAUGUCCCACAUACAUACAGCAUGUAUCUCUUUUUUUGUUUUUGUCCCCCAGUUGCUGCCUCCAGGGUACCAGCUAUCCUUAUCACUGCUCCCAUGGCAACAAGUCUCUGCUCCAGAGCUAACUGCAAGAGAACUAAUUCAGAAAGCAUCUCACUUUUUAUGGAAGGACAUCAUGACUGGCAUAUGAAGAGAAAGCAGACAAAGGAGCAAUAAUGGAAUGUACUGCUGGAAAUGUCCAAGUGUACCUGAGGCAAAGCUCCCAGUGUUACAAGAGUGCAAAAAGUAGAAAAGCUACUGGAUGGCCUGGGGAACUUCAACAGCUGAGGCAGCUCACCUAAUGGUUAAUUUUUCAUUAGCCAUAAAAUACAAGUUUUAUCAUAUACCUGUUAAAUAAAGUGUAAAGACCAUAAUUUGUCUUCUAUUUG
This 704-nucleotide long non-coding RNA is filed under the name Anas platyrhynchos platyrhynchos (common mallard). RNAcentral's name for it is "lncRNA (ENSAPLG00000029691.1)". Lineage: Eukaryota; Metazoa; Chordata; Aves; Anseriformes; Anatidae. The record is from RNAcentral.